This is an RNA transcript of Girardinichthys multiradiatus, 7301 nucleotides long. It is a transcript of the gene named cyclin-dependent kinase 12-like, with no coding region annotated. The record is from RefSeq and is a predicted model, not a curated record. The transcript has 15 exons. NCBI's taxonomy places the organism in Eukaryota, Metazoa, Chordata, Actinopteri, Cyprinodontiformes, Goodeidae.
GUUAGUCAUAGGAGCCACAAUGGCGAUUGUAGUCUCCUUCAGAUAGGGCUGUGGAUGAUACUAAAUCCACUAGCAUCGCCCUAAAUAUAGGCCUGGUUGAUUUCCAGAGCCAUUAAUAAUAAACUGGAACAUCUACUACACACGAAAAUACUAUGAUUUCUGAUCAAUAUUGAAUCUAUAGGGGAUAAAAUUUACAUUAAAGGGAACAUGUAAACAGCACCAACCGGGUCAAGUUUUCAUUUUGUUGGAGAAACGAGCGUCUUUUACUCAAGGCGUUUGCUUGUUUCUGAAAGCUCAGACCGUUAUUCUGUGGAAUAAAAAUACGUUUUCUUAACUUGGCAUCGGACAAGGACAGCUUUCACAAAGGGACUUUUUCUUUUUUAGGAGUCCGCUCGCUAGCUGUCGAGCAAUAGCUAGCUGUGCUAGCUACGUUGAGGCGGAGGCGAUCCACAGUGCUCCUAUGUUUGGUUUGGACCUUCUUCAUUCACUGACUGACUCAGAGUUCAAACUUUGCUGCAUAGUAAAACCACCUUGGAUUUUUUUUUCUUGUUUUGGCACUACUCUUGGUGAGCGAAUGGAAUGAAUUGGCGCCGAGGAGGACUGGACGUGAGCGGCCUUGAGUGUUCAUUUUGUGCUUAUGUUUUUUCUGUUUCUGCUUUGCAACAUUUGUUUCGACAGUUGAAGUAGCCGUUGUUUUCUUGUGGAUGAAUCUCUCGGAACACGGAAGCCGGCGUGAGGUAUGCCAGGGUCGGACCGACACCAUGGGACCAAGAGGAAGACGGAUCCGAGCGGCGGCGUGCCACAUCAGACCCAAGGCCCGGCUCAUACCUCUGAGGGAAACAUGACGAGCAAAGACAGUAAGGCGCUGUUAAAAUCUUCCAUGUCCACACCAUCAUUGAAACGAAAGCGUCAUAAAUCAAACAAACCUAACCGAGAAUCCUCGGCGAUACCGGGACCCGCAGGUUUUGCCCCCGGUAAUACGGCGCCUCCUGGUGUCAACACGGUGAAACCUCUGGUGGAGUACGACGACAUCAGCUCCGAGUCGGACACUUUUUCGGACCCCCCUUCCUCCAGGCCUUCUGAGAGGGGGGGUGGGGACCGACUGGAUCCCUCGCCUUCACCCGAACACGACGGAGACGAUAUCAGCAGAGAGCCUGAGAGAGAGAACAAGAGUCAAAGACUCUCCCGGAAAAAGCCUAAGGACCCUAAUAAAGUUAGAGACUCUGGGAAUGGGGAGCAUGGGUACAAAAAAAAGAGCAGCAAAGAUCGUGAAAAGGGCAACACUGGGAAAGUCAAGGAGAAAACUGCUUCCUCAGGCUCCUCGACCAAACGCCAGCUCCAACCAGAGGGUAACACCAAGCGUGGAGAGUCAGCGCUCUCUGUACAGACUGCAGCCAGUGUAGGUAGCACUACAUCAUCUACAUCUUCAUCUCGCAGUAAGGAGAGCAGUCGCUCAGGGAAGUCUCAUAAAGAGAGGCAACAGCGAAGAGAAGGCCGAGGAGAUGGAAACCGUGGUUCUUCCCAUAGGAGCCGGACAGACCGGACUCACCGCAAGUCCGCCAAGAGCCACAAGUCAAGCCCUAAGGGCAAGUCGUCAAGCAGGGGAAGCCCUCGCAGAAAGGGCGCUAGCUCUGCUGUAUCAUCGAGUCCCAGAAGAGGCAGUGAGAGUCCAUUGGGUAGUAACUAUGGACAGCAGGGGGAUGACGGCUACUCCAGGCGGAGGUUAGCUCAGAAGAGCCCAAGUCCUUAUGGGGAUUUGUCUCGCCGCAGCAGGCAAAGGUCGGACAGUCCAUAUGGCAGCAGGCACAGGUCCUCAAGCUUUGAGAGGGACAGCAGCCCUUAUUUGAGGAGGCGCUCCAUCAGCCCCUAUGUUAACCGCAGGUCCUCCAGCACCAGCCCCGUGUCUCGACGCUCAGGCCGUUCCAGAAGCCGCUCCCCACUGCCCUACUCUUCUCGUCGCUCCUCUUCUCGUUCACGCAACAAGAGGCAUACUUCUUCAGCUUUAGGAAGUGGCGGCUCCCACAGUAGUCGUCCAGCUAGCCGCUCCCCUCCUUCCUCCCGCUUGCCCCUCACCUCCAGUUUGGGUGCAGAGCUUACCCGCAGAAAAAAAGAGCGCCUAGCUGCUGAGGCGGCUGCUCGCGCCAACGCCAGUGGUACUGCUUCCCCUCUUCCAUCCACUCAAAAACCUGCAAGUUCCACAUCCUCACGAUCUGCUAAAACUGAGCCGCCACAGAUAGAAAGAGACUCUGUUGCAAAGGUAGAAGCCCAGGCAACUGCACAAAUAGCCUCUGAUACUCCCAAGAGUGAAGAUCAAGUUACAGCACCUUUACCCUCGUCCCCUACCUAUUCCCCUGCUCCUCCUCCUCCCGAGCCCUCUCCUCCUGUGCCCCCCUGUCCCAUCACACAGGUGCCACCCCCACCACCGCCUCCUCCUCAGCUGGAAACAGUUAAUCAGCCCACCACACAUCACAUGUCCCAGACAAAAUCACCCGGGUAUGUUCCUACGCGCAGUCCUGUUCGUCAGACACCACUCCACAAGACAUCAACUCUCCCCCCCCUGCCUUUACCACCUAUGCUGCUGGGAAAUGCUCAGGACAGUCCAAAGAAAUCCACCCCUCCCCAGAGGCCAUCAAGAAAGGAGAAGAUGGUUAGCAGCCGGCCUUCUCUUAUUGAUCUUCCUCUACCGCCCACUUUGCCUGGAGCUGACUCGUCGCCCCCUCAGUCGCCUGUCCGACAGCCGCCUCCUGUACCCCAACUGCCCCUCAAGAAGAGACCAAAGAUUUGUUGCCCACGAUAUGGUGAGAGAAAACAUAACCUGAGUGACUGGGGCAAACGCUGUGUAGACAAAUUUGAUAUAAUUGGGAUCAUAGGCGAAGGCACAUAUGGCCAAGUGUACAAGGCAAAGGACAAAGAUACAGGGGAACUUGUUGCUUUGAAGAAAGUGCGUUUGGACAAUGAGAAAGAGGGUUUCCCCAUCACUGCCAUCAGAGAGAUAAAGAUUUUGAGGCAGCUCAAACAUCGUAGCGUUGUCAACAUGAAGGAAAUCGUUACCGACAAGCAGGAUGCACUUGACUUUAAAAAGGAUAAAGGUGCAUUUUACUUAGUAUUUGAGUACAUGGAUCAUGACCUGAUGGGCCUUCUUGAGUCGGGCCUAGUCCAGUUCUCCCACGAACACAUCCGCAGCUUCAUGCGUCAGCUUAUGGAAGGUCUGGACUACUGCCAUAAGAACAACUUCCUGCACAGGGACAUCAAAUGCUCCAACAUACUGCUCAAUAACAGAGGUCAGAUCAAGCUGGCAGACUUUGGUUUGGCUCGACUUUACAAUUCUGAGGAAAGUCGACCAUAUACUAAUAAAGUAAUCACACUAUGGUACCGUCCCCCUGAACUACUGCUUGGGGAGGAGAGGUAUUCCCCGGCCAUUGACGUUUGGAGCUGUGGGUGUAUUCUUGGAGAGCUCUUCACUAAAAAACCCAUCUUCCAGGCAAAUCAGGAACUUCUACAACUGGAGCUCAUCAGCCGUCUGUGUGGAAGUCCUUGUCCUGCAGUGUGGCCUGAUGUCAUUAAACUUCCACUCUUCAACACCAUGAAACCUAAGAAGCAGUACAGGCGGCGGCUACGAGAGGAGUUUGCCUUUUUGCCUACUUCUGCUCUGGACCUGCUGGAUCGAAUGUUGACCCUUGACCCUUCACGUCGCUGCACAUCAGAGCAAGCUCUUCUCAGUGACUUUCUUACUGAUGUAGAUCCCGGCAGGAUGUCGCCACCAGAUCUUCCUCAUCAUCAGGACUGUCAUGAGCUAUGGAUUAAAAAGAAGAGACGUGCGCGUCAGAGUGGGUUGUCGGAGGAUGUGCCUGUGCCCAAAGUGCCCCGUAAAGAUAUCGCUGGGACCUCCAGCGGAGAAAACAGCCGACCCCACAGCAGCCCGCCUGGAGCGCCGCCCGCUCCCCCAGGAAAGCCGCCCUCCACAGCCAAAUUAGAGACUGAGCUGUCAGGUCUGGGAGCAGCUGCAGAGCAACUGAAUCAAACAGAGCUGGCUGUGCUGCUUAACCUCCUCCAGGGACAGACUGACCUCAAGCUGCCCCAAGUGGCCCAGCUCCUUAACCUCUCUGACUCAGAAACUGUCAGCCAGUUGUUAUCAACUAUUAAUGAGGCCUCUGCCCACCAGGGGGCUCCAGAGGACCAGACUCAGCCUCCUGCUAUGCCCCAGCCACCAGAGCCGCCUCCUGAACCCCAGGAGGCCUCACCCACAUCUGGAGAAGCUCCUCUCAGCCAGGAAGACCAGGCCAGCCUGCUGGCCCUCAUUCUGGGCCAAAUCAUAAAACCUGAAACCGAGGAGCAAAGCGACGAAAGCAAUGGCGUUAAGUCAGAGGAGGCGCUCACGCGCGGUUCGUCCGCUUCGACUACUGAUUCCAAGGAUGGUGCUGUGUCAAAAAGGAAACAAGUUUUGGCCAACCAGUUGCCUCCAAGCGGUGAACUGCGCCCCCCCUCCCCACCGGGGUCACCUCCACCAGCUCCUCUCCUGGUGAACUCCCAACAAGCUGAGUCAGAAACCCAGCCUAACAACCAGGACAUCAGCCCUGCUGUGGCUGCUGCCUUGCUCCAGCUCAUCUCUCAGCCGGACCUGGAGGCUGUGGCCUCCAAGCAAAGCAAAGACCCAUCCCCGGCUGUGGAUGCCGCAGGCCGUGAAGAGCUUCCCCCACCCUGGGUUGCAGACUCUCCCAUUAAACCUUCCGCCCCUGCUGAGUCGCCAGCAGCGGCGGGUACUGCUGCUCCCACCACUUCAUCUCAGUUCCCAAAGGACCAGGACCUGCGGUUUUCCCAAGGAGCAGCCCGCUGAACCUGAAUCCACUGGUGACCUUAAUGUUGGGUAUCCUGGGACAGUUCCAGCAGUCCUGGCCUGAAGGGAAAGGCAGAUGGAGAAUGCAGCCACAGAAAGUGACUCACUGGACCAACAGCAGAUUGUCAUCCCUGAGCUGGAUCCUCUGUGGUUCUUCCAGAGUUACGGUUGGUGUCUUGGCUGCUAAUCUAAUUAAAAUCUUUAAGUUAAGGGUCAGACUAAAGGGUGAUGAGCACAAAUUCAUGCCAUACGUUUCCAAUUUUUAUUUGUAAAAAAACAAAACCCCCCCAAAAAAACAAAAACAUUGUAAACCAUGUAUCUUUCUCUUCCACUUCAAAAUUGUGCAUAAUGUGUGUUGGUCUAUCACAUAGACCUUAAUUAAACACAUUAAAGUUUGUGGUUGUAACACUCUGCAAGCAGCAACCUGCUCACCGUAUGGGAUUAAAAAUCAUUGUCAGAGAUGCACCAAUCAUGUUUUUCUUGCCCAAUACAGAUUUGUGUUUAUCGUCCUCUCUGUUUGGCCUGUUCAGAAAUUUCUUUCUAUAGAGUACAAAAAAUAAAACCUAUUUGUGCGUUUUGUUCAAUUAAAUCCGGCAUAUAUCAUAAAACAUAAAUAUGUCAUUGCAGGUCUUUUUAGAGAAGUGGUAGUUUUGAUUACAACUGAAAAGGGGUUAGAAUAAUAUCCUCGUAUAUGCAUUUAAUCAUAUGUCCCCAACCUUUAUCUGAUUUUUAAUAUUUGGGAAACGUGUUGUGAGCUCAUACAUUUAUAGACUUAAAUAAAAGUGGGAGUUUUCACUUCUAGCACUUUUAAUAAAUGAAAAAAAAAUUGGACCUUCAGUAUUUGAUGCUGAUCACCAUUCAGGGCCGACUGAUCCAAAGUCCGAUCAGUUGGUUUUGUAUGUAGCAUAGAUGCAUAAACAGCUGAAUUGCAGAUUUUUAAGUCAGCAGACUGAUAAUAUUGCUUCAAGCCCAAUCAGCAUUGGAGUAAUUAUAUUCGGACCCAAUCAGAUGGAGACAUGCUGUCUCUCGACGAUUGGUACUCCCUGUAUAUCAAUAAUAUUCAUAUUUCGGUUAUUUCCCCACUUGGUUUGAUCUCUCAAUGAUGAUCCCGACAGGCAGCCAAGGAUCAUAAACCUUAGAUGGGCAAACGCAGAAGCUUCCAAGGAUCGUGCAGACUGUGUGUGUGUGUGUGUGUGUGUGUGUGCUGAAUUGGCUUCACGCACAGCUCCUCACUUGGCAAGCUUACAGAGCCGCUUACCCCUCUGGCCCAGCGAGCAGCUGAGCCCUCUGGGUGAGAUAUCCAUUCAGAGAGGAGGCAGAGGGAGGCUCACCUGCCCUCUAGCACAGGCUCAGUGUGAAUGAGAUGAGACGGUGAUGCAUUCUGUCUGAUGCCUCUCCCCGUCGGGACUCCAAAUAAUAGUGAAUGUGCCCGCAGGGAGUUUCCACUGGAGGAUGUAGUGGGCAAUGCCACUGCCAAGUCACAAAGACGAGACGAAUAAAUCAGGGCUGAGGAGUGACGAGAGGGAGGCGAGUGAGGCAGUGCCAUUAAUCAGAAAAGCACCUUAUGGGGAAUGCCCAAAAAUGUGCCAAUCUGAAGCUUGUCGUCGCCAUAGCAGGGACAGUCGGCGGCGAUCAAAAUGGAGGCUCCAUUUUGAAUGCUGGCACUUCAGUCAGCUGCUGCGAUUCUGGUAGAUUUCCAGACAAACUGUGAAAUAACCGAAGGUCUGUUUCGGUCUAUUCACGCUAAAUUGAUUGAAUGAAUAUUUGUAUUUUUAUGUCAGAUUGAUCAAAAUUUCUCAGUGCCUCUCAGAUCUGAUGACCAGUAAUAUUAAACACCUGGUUUGGAUCCCAUCUCACAUUUAAAGGAACUUUUAACAGUCCAGACUUAAGAGAAAAUGCAAAUCUGAUAGCCAGAUUUCAUCAUAGAGACAUAGAAGCAUUUUUUUAAGUUCUCUACAAGCUACAGAAUGUUCCUUUAAUGUCACAUGAGCAUUGUUUGUCUCAAUUUGAUUGUGAUCUGUCAGCAAACUCAGUGUAUGUUCACUGUUGAGUUUAAACUUCCAGUCUAGUUUAUACUUCCCUUGAAUAAGCUUGACAGAAUUUUCAGACUGAAGAUACAACUAAGCAUAACCUCUGAAAUGUUUCAGAAAUUUCUCCAGUUGUCAGAUCUCAUUUCAAGAUUUAAUUUCAACGUAUAAAAUGGUAUCAAUAAAAAGUUCUUAACUGCCUUCUUACAGCGUAUCACAGCAAUGAAAACGUGUGAGUGUGUGCAGUCUGCAGUCGUCUUUGUGAGCAAUUUGACGGUUUGAUGUUCGAGGCUGUUUGAUCAGCUUGUGAACUCAUUGAGGAGAGGCUGGGAACUCCACAGCUCCACAUCCAAGACGAGGCGAAAUGCAACAAAACAGGCAAAUAUCAGUCCAGAACACCAAAUAUUGACAAAUGUAUACAUUAAAAGUAAAGCACAUUU